UCUUUUUUUUAAAGUAGUGUAUCAAACUCACAGCUGAUUUUGCUGGGUAUGACGGAAAGUGCCAGCUGUUCACAGCCAACAGACUAGAGUGACACUUGUUUAUUGGUCAUGCUUCAAGAAUCCUGCGAAGAAUUCUUGCAGUUCCAAACAAUGCUGAUUUUUGUAGGUUUUC
Long non-coding RNA from Octopus sinensis (East Asian common octopus), 172 nucleotides. RefSeq lists it as uncharacterized. The record is from RefSeq and is a predicted model, not a curated record. Lineage: Eukaryota; Metazoa; Mollusca; Cephalopoda; Octopoda; Octopodidae. The transcript is spliced from 3 exons.